RNAcentral lists this unclassified non-coding RNA (421 nucleotides) under soil metagenome. RNAcentral's name for it is "partial contains 5.8S ribosomal RNA, internal transcribed spacer 2, and large subunit ribosomal RNA". The stretch from base 1 to 120 matches the Rfam family "5.8S ribosomal RNA", at positions 35 to 154 of the family's 154-position model. The record is from RNAcentral.
GAUGAAGAACGUAGCGAAAUGCGAUACGUAAUGUGAAUUGCAGAAUUCAGUGAAUCAUCGAAUCUUUGAACGCAUAUUGCGCUCUUUGGUAUUCCGAAGAGCAUGCUUGUUUGAGUAUCAGUAAACACCUCAACCUCUUCUUGAUUUUUCAAAAGGAGGGUGGACUUGAGCUAUCCCAACAACCUUUACCGGUCGGCGGGCGGCUUGAAAUGCAGGUGCAGCUGGACUUUUAUCUGAGCUAAAAGCAUAUCUAUUUAGUCCUCGUCAAACAGGAUUAUUACUUUUGCUGCAGCUAACAUAAAGGAUAAUUGUCCUCUUUGCUGACUGAUGCAGGAUUUUACGACACUUUAUGUGUUGUUCAACUCGAUCUCAAAUCAAGUAAGACCACCCGCUGAACUUAAGCAUAUCAAUAAGCGGAGGA